GACGAACGCUGGCGGCGUGCCUAACACAUGCAAGUCGAGCGGGGUUGAGGCGAGAGGUAACUCGAGCUUCUACCUAGCGGCGGACGGGUGAGUAACGCGUGGGCAACCUGCCUCAAGGUUUGGGAUAACAGCCCGAAAGGGCUGCUAAUACCGGAUAUGCCUAUGGCCUCGCAUGGGGCUAUGAGCAAAGGGGAAACCCGCCUUGAGAUGGGCCCGCGUCCCAUCAGCUAGUUGGUGAGGUAACAGCUCACCAAGGCGACGACGGGUAGCCGGCCUGAGAGGGUGACCGGCCACACUGGGACUGAGACACGGCCCAGACUCCUACGGGGGGCAGCAGUGGGGGAUCUUGCACAAUGGGCGAAAGCCUGAUGCAGCGACGCCGCGUGAGCGAAGAAGGCCUUCGGGUUGUAAAGCUCUGUCUGGAGGGACGAACAAAAUGACGGUACCUCCGGAGGAAGCCACGGCUAACUACGUGCCAGCAGCCGCGGUAAAAGUGUGUGUACG
Molecule: ribosomal RNA, 504 nt
Filed under: uncultured bacterium
Lineage: Bacteria
Description: bacterial SSU rRNA
Rfam family: Bacterial small subunit ribosomal RNA
Source: RNAcentral